Molecule: ribosomal RNA, 253 nt
Filed under: uncultured bacterium
Lineage: Bacteria
Description: partial 16S ribosomal RNA
Rfam family: Bacterial small subunit ribosomal RNA
Source: RNAcentral
UACAGAGGUCUCAAGCGUUGUUCGGAUUCAUUGGGCGUAAAGGGUGCGUAGGCGGCGAGGCAAGUCAGGUGUGAAAUCCCGGGGCUCAACCCUGGAACUGCACUUGAUACUGCUUUGCUAGAGUACUGGAGAGGAGAUUGGAAUUUACGGUGUAGCAGUGAAAUGCGUAGAUAUCGUAAGGAAGACCAGUGGCGAAGGCGAAUCUCUGGACAGUUACUGACGCUGAGGCACGAAGGCCAGGGGAGCAAACGGG